RNAcentral lists this long non-coding RNA (217 nucleotides) under Medicago truncatula (barrel medic). Its description in RNAcentral is "long non-coding RNA (MTRU_LNC005605)". The record is from RNAcentral. Lineage: Eukaryota; Viridiplantae; Streptophyta; Magnoliopsida; Fabales; Fabaceae.
GGUAGAACUACAAUACUGAGGGCUUCUUAAAUCUGUUAUUCGAGUUGGUUCUGCCUGUCCAUAUUGGCUUUACUGUUACGAAAAUAAUGAGGGGAAGGAAAAUAUGGAGUUUACACCAGAAGAUAUAAAAAUAGAGUUAGACAGGAAGCUUGACAUUUAGUAGGGAUAGUUGGGGGAAUGUUGAUUAAUAGACAGUGCAUGAGGGAGACCUUUGGGG